AGCUUGACACUGAACAUUGAGCCUUGAUGUGUAGGAUAGGUGGGAGGCUUUGAAGUGUGGACGCCAGUCUGCAUGGAGCCGACCUUGAAAUACCACCCUUUAAUGUUUGAUGUUCUAACGUUGGCCCCUAAUCGGGGUUGCGGACAGUGUCUGGUGGGUAGUUUGACUGGGGCGGUCUCCUCCUAAAGAGUAACGGAGGAGCACGAAGGUUGGCUAAUCCUGGUCGGACAUCAGGAGGUUAGUGCAAUGGCAUAAGCCAGC
RNAcentral lists this ribosomal RNA (261 nucleotides) under Escherichia coli. RNAcentral describes it as "partial 23S ribosomal RNA". It matches the Rfam family "Bacterial large subunit ribosomal RNA", at positions 2108 to 2368 of the family's 2925-position model. The record is from RNAcentral. Lineage: Bacteria; Pseudomonadati; Pseudomonadota; Gammaproteobacteria; Enterobacterales; Enterobacteriaceae.